AUUGAACGCUGGCGGAAUGCUUUACACAUGCAAGUCGAGCGGCAGCGCGGGGCAACCUGGCGGCGAGCGGCGAACGGGUGAGUAACACAUCGGAACGUGCCCAGACGUGGGGGAUAGCCCGGCGAAAGCCGGAUUAAUACCGCAUGUGAUCUGAGGAUGAAAGCGGGGGACUCGCAAGGGCCUCGCGCGUUUGGAGCGGCCGAUGGCAGAUUAGGUAGUUGGUGGGGUAAAGGCUUACCAAGCCUGCGAUCUGUAGCUGGUCUGAGAGGAUGAUCAGCCACACUGGGACUGAGACACGGCCCAGACUCCUACGGGAGGCAGCAGUGGGGAAUUUUGGACAAUGGGCGCAAGCCUGAUCCAGCCAUUCCGCGUGCAGGACGAAGGCCUGGUUGUAACUGCUUUGUACGGAACGAAAGGUACGUUCUCUAAUACAGA
RNAcentral lists this ribosomal RNA (435 nucleotides) under uncultured bacterium. RNAcentral describes it as "bacterial SSU rRNA". It matches the Rfam family "Bacterial small subunit ribosomal RNA", at positions 29 to 470 of the family's 1533-position model. The record is from RNAcentral.